GAUGAACGCUAGCGGCAGGCCUAAUACAUGCCAGUCGAACGCGAUCCCGAUCAAAGCUUGCUUUGGUCUGGUGAGAGUGGCGCACGGGUGCGUAACGCGUGAGCAACCUACCCUUGUCAGGGGGAUAGCCCGGCGAAAGUCGGAUUAAUACCGCAUGACAUCAUUGAGAGGCAUCUUUCGAUGAUCAAAGAUUUAUCGGACAAGGAUGGGCUCGCGUGAUAUUAGCUAGUUGGUAAGGUAACGGCUUACCAAGGCUGCGAUGUCUAGGGGCUCUGAGAGGAGAAUCCCCCACACUGGUACUGAGACACGGACCAGACUCCUACGGGAGGCAGCAGUAAGGAAUAUUGGUCAAUGGACGGAAGUCUGAACCAGCCAUGCCGCGUGCAGGAGGACGGCCCUAUGGGUUGUAAACUGCUUUUAUACGGGAACAAACGUCGGUACGUGUACCGGUCUGAGUGUACCGUAAGAAUAAGGAUCGGCUAACUCCGUG
This 490-nucleotide ribosomal RNA is filed under the name uncultured bacterium. RNAcentral's name for it is "partial 16S ribosomal RNA". It matches the Rfam family "Bacterial small subunit ribosomal RNA", at positions 28 to 507 of the family's 1533-position model. The record is from RNAcentral.